Molecule: ribosomal RNA, 284 nt
Filed under: Bacillus thuringiensis
Lineage: Bacteria; Bacillati; Bacillota; Bacilli; Caryophanales; Bacillaceae
Description: partial 16S ribosomal RNA
Rfam family: Bacterial small subunit ribosomal RNA
Source: RNAcentral
CCCGCAACGAGCGUCCCCUAGAUCUUAGUUGCCAUCAUUAAGUUGGGCACUCUCAGGUGACUGCCGGUGACAAACCGGAGGAAGGUGGUCUACGACGUCCAAUCAUCAUGCCCCUUAUGACCUGGGCUUCUCACGUGCUACAAUGGACGGUACAAAGAGCUGCAAGACCGCGAGGUGGAGCUAAUCUCAUAAAACCGUUCUCAGUUCGGAUUGUAGGCUGCAACUCUCCUACUUGAAGCUGGAAUCGCUUGUAAUCGCGGAUCAGCAUGCCGCGGUGAAUACUU